Podarcis lilfordi (Lilford's wall lizard) is the source of this 3995-nucleotide non-coding RNA. The record is from the annotation of a GenBank genome assembly. Lineage: Eukaryota; Metazoa; Chordata; Lepidosauria; Squamata; Lacertidae.
GUUCACUAUUGUGGAAUGGGGUCAAGAAUCUUAAUUUCAUUCUGCUACCGCGACUUUGAAACCUUAUCUUCACUGAGAAAUAUUCAAUCCCAAUGACAUUUUCUUUGCCAAUUUUGUUGGUGAUUCAGCACCUAGGGGGAAAAAGUAGGUUAACUACAAUGAGUUGGGAGAUUUUAAAAAAUAAUGUCAAUGAGUUCAUGCAAUAUGCUCAGUAAGAUCCAAGUCAAGCGAGCCCCUGACUCAUGCAGGAAGCUUUCCAAGCUGCGUGUGUGUGCUGAAGUAGCAUUCUCAGCCCUUUUGAGUGCAUUGUGCUGGCAUUCUGGGGAGCAGUACUGGCAUGAGAGCCGCUCCCAGACUCCCUGUGCCAAAAGGACACCUUUUCCUGCAAUAUCAGCACAAGUGAGGAGAAGUCAGGCAAGGGUGGAGGAUUGCCCACAAGCUGUGUUCUCAUGUUUUUCAUUACAGGAGUUGAAAAUAUAUGAAGCAAUAUAAACAAGGCAAGAUAAGAAACAAGAGUUUUCUGAUUCAGACCCAACAGGACAAGAUACCUUUCACUGUUCCGACUUCCCCCUGGGUCUUGUGGUGAUUUCUGAACCGAUUUGCUUCCAUUCCCCACGGUUGCUUUGAUACACAGUUCAUAAAAAAGCUCAGCUGAAAGUAUUUGCAAGGCCUCUUUCAUAGAUGCAGGAAUAGAGUCUCUCUCUACCUCCCUCCCCUGCUCACCCUUCUUAUUAUGAAAACUAUAGCUAAAAUCACACUGUAUUAUUUCAUUUGGCACAUAGGUUUCUCCUUUCACUUUGAUUUUCUCAUGGGUUUCCUUUUUGGCUCCUGCUAGAACCCCACCUUCCAGAUACUCCUGCUUCCAAUUUAUUGACAUUUGUGCAUUUAUUGCAUGGUAUAUAGGUCAAGGUGAGGUUCUGCAAACUAGCAGCAGCAGUUCUUUCAGAUGUUCUGGACUUUGCAGUCUCUUUUGCUUUAUCACUUUAUUACAUGUGCAUCAACUUUAUUUGGCAUCCCUGCUUCAUAAACUUAUUAAAGAAAUGGCAAAACUAUUGGGGAGGUUUAAAAUGGGGAGAGUUCAUUCUAAAAUAAUUUUCUUACCCUACCCCUUCAUAGAAGUCCUUAACAAUUGUCAAGUAAUAGAUGCCAAGGGAAGACAGUUGAUCUUUCCUGGAUAAAUUUACUACUAUAAUUUUAUCCCUUUUUAAUCCCCUUAAUUUUUGCCUGUAGUGUUUGCAUGGGAGAAAUGCUGGUGAUGGAUCUCAGUGUAGAAGGUUAUGCACAUAGCAGGCAUCUCAGAUUUACACUUUCCCCAAAUCGCAGAACUCUGCACUGCCCAGUAUUGUCCUUCAAACUUAACAUAAUGCCACUGUAGUUCUUGAUGCAACAUGAGGAACUGUUGGGGUUGGAGAGGUAGAAAGAGGGAGAAAUUUGAAUGUAUGCAUGCAACUGGUUGUACAUUCCUAAAGGGAUUGUUUUGAUUCAUAAUAGUGCAGUUUUAGUUCAACUGACCCUUAAAGGGUUGAUUUGCUUAGAUUGCCGACAUCUUCAGUUUGGUAUCAGUCUUUCUGUGUGUCUAGGAGCUGGGUACCUAUACCCACAGAAUAGAUGGCAGAUGGAGGCUAACAUUUAAUGCACGCUGCCAUUUUCCUUUUGACAUUUACCUGUCAGUCUCUUUGCUACUAAUACCCAAGGACAAAAAUUGAGAUGCAAUGCCUCAGUGCAACAUGACAUAUGGAAAUGUUACUAUCUUUGCUCUUGAUUAAUAUGUCUCAGAAGUGCUGGAUUUCCCUGGAGAUAUUUACACGCUGUGUAGGCUUCUGCUCUGUUCAAGACCCUAAAGGUGUAAAGCCAAGACUUUCCACAAAUCAUCAGAUAAAGAGGUCAUUGUAUAUAUGUUCCUUCAGUAUGACUCUUCUUCAGCUGAGCUCAGGAGAAGGAAGUGUUGAAUAGUUUUCUUGACUGUAAUUGAAUUAAUUUAAAUGAAAAGUAAGUUGUUUAGAUAGCCAGGUCUUCUCUGAAGAGCCUUGGUCUUAAUCUAAGCUACCUAGUAGCGGGAAAGCAGAUGUUUCUUGCUCUGCUCCUGAAAAGGAAACUCAUUUGUAGGAAUUCACUGCUGUACAAGGAUCUACUGAAUUUAGCCUAUACAGGCAGGCUUAGGUGUGACUGUGAAAAUGAAGGAGUGCAACCCAUGACUGUUAGUGCAAGAGCUUUUAGGUGGUGUGGGGAUCUAAACCUUUAUUAAUGCGUUAGAGGGGUGUGGGUGUGUGGGUGUGGGUGUGGGUGUGGGUGUAAAGUAAGCUGGGCAGAGACAACACAUUUUUGUUGUGUUAUGGUUUGGGAAUAUGUGUAGGCAUUCUAAUUACAGCAUGAACUAAUCUUGUGAAGAAUUAUUGUGAAAACCAACUGUGCUUGCAAACCUAAAUCAUCAUAGAUAUCUUAGUAAUGGCUGUUGCUACAAUGAUGUCCCUUCACUAAAGGGAAAUUAUGCAUGGGGUUCGCCAUCUCAAAUAUAUGUUCCACUAAUGGCCUGCUUUUGAGCUAAACUUUCCUUCAUGUUUAAUUGAAAACAGCCAAAUGAAUAUACUGUAUUUUUCCGUGUAUAAGACUAGGUUUUUUUCCCUAAACAAUAAUGUCAAAAAUUAGGGGGCGUCUUAUACAUGGAUAAGAGCAUAUAGUUUUCAUCUUGCAUCCCGCGGCAACCCAGAAGUACUGGAAUGGGUUACUUCUGGGUUUUGCCGCAUGCGCAUGCACAGAAGCAGUGGGGUGCUUCAAGUUGCGGGCUUUUGACAUUAUGGAUGGGUCUCUGGAAUGUAUCCCCUCUGUAACACAAGGUACCACUGUACUGGAUGUGUCCCUUAGGUAUGUAUAUUUAAAAGGCCAGAAUACUAAAAAAUGAACGUUUGACUUAGAAUAAUCCUUCUCUUAAUUAUAAAAUAUGCCACAUUCAGGGUCCAUUAAUAUAUUUUUAAGUUAAUAUUUUAGUAAAGGAAGAAGCAUGUGACAUGGAGUACAGAAAGAAUAGGAAGCAGAGAUGCAGCUCCAUAAAGGAGGGGUUAUCUCAUCUGGGAGAGGCAUAUCCGUUCCUGUUUCAGCAUGGUUUAUGGUCUUUCUUUAAUGUGUACUCACUCUUCUCUCUUCUCCACUUGUGGAAGUUUUCACUUUCAAACAAGCCACAACUCUUCAUUACAUAUGAACUCGGGGAACUGUGGUUUGCUCAAACUUAAGUUAGUUUAAAUAACCCAAUAUAGUUUGAUAUUCUGUCCAAGUUUGUGCAUAAUAUGGAACUGUGUUUUGUUCUAAAGUGGAACCAGAGGCUUACAUUCAUCUGUUUUGCAUAGAAAAGAAAAUGGGGUGACUGUAUAAACUAAGGGUCACUGUAGUUUGUUUGCUGCCACCCAUUGUUUGGUGUUUGUAAGUGGGCCACUGAGGUCUUUUUACUAAAGGGUAGUGGUAUACCCAGCACAUUCCUUAUCAAAUGAAUUGAAAUGUAGAUAUUCCAAAUAUUUUGUGUCUCUCUAAAGAGGAAUAACUAAAACUGGGUGCACCACAUAUACUAUGUAGUUAUGAUUUAAGGAGCAAUGUAUUGGUGUAUAUCCACAUGCCUGGUAUAAAGGGGUUAAGUUAAUUUAGAAUUAAAAGUGAAGGAAAUGCUUUAGAAGUUAGAUAUUGGGAAAACACUAAAUUAGGCGUUCCUGUUUGACACUUUAUUGUAACUACCAAGCAGCUAACAUGUAGCUUUCUGUAAUAAAGAUUAAUUUUGUUCACUUCAAGAAGAAUAGCUUCUAUUGGAGUUUUAAAAAAUGCACACUUUACAGAUUUAUGCAGUCUGCAUCCCUAAUAUUACUAUAAAUCUGAACUUCUUAGGAGUACUGACUAAUAUAUACAACUCUUUCGCUUGGGAUAAUUUGGUUAUUUACUGCUGUUCCUUGUCUUAUUUAUUUUAAAAAGUUAUACCCUGCCUCCUUCAUGGCACUUGCAGUACCUCUCAAAGU